This 491-nucleotide ribosomal RNA is filed under the name uncultured bacterium. Its description in RNAcentral is "partial 16S ribosomal RNA". It matches the Rfam family "Bacterial small subunit ribosomal RNA", at positions 29 to 506 of the family's 1533-position model. The record is from RNAcentral.
AGUGAACGCUGGCGGUAGUCCUAACACAUGCAAGUCGAACGGCAGCACAGUAAGAGCUUGCUCUUACGGGUGGCGAGUGGCGGACGGGUGAGGAAUACAUCGGAAUCUACUUUUUCGUGGGGGAUAACGUAGGGAAACUUACGCUAAUACCGCAUACGACCUACGGGUGAAAGCAGGGGAUCUUCGGACCUUGCGCGAUUGAAUGAGCCGAUGUCGGAUUAGCUAGUUGGCGGGGUAAAGGCCCACCAAGGCGACGAUCCGUAGCUGGUCUGAGAGGAUGAUCAGCCACACUGGAACUGAGACACGGUCCAGACUCCUACGGGAGGCAGCAGUGGUGAAUAUUGGACAAUGGGCGCAAGCCUGAUCCAGCCAUACCGCGUGGGUGAAGAAGGCCUUCGGGUUGUAAAGCCCUUUUGUUGGGAAAGAAAAGCAGCAGGUUAAUACCCCGCUGUUCUGACGGUACCCAAAGAAUAAGCACCGGCUAACUUCGU